This 484-nucleotide long non-coding RNA is filed under the name Vigna radiata. RNAcentral describes it as "long non-coding RNA (VRAD_LNC007034)". The record is from RNAcentral. Lineage: Eukaryota; Viridiplantae; Streptophyta; Magnoliopsida; Fabales; Fabaceae.
UAGGAUUUCUGAGAAGGCAAUAGAAAGAAAAAGGAGGAUGUGCAUACAUAUUUGGACAUUUGCUCUUCUAACUUCAACUUCUUUAAUUCCAAUUGGCUUUGCUCAUGCUACAGAUUUUAGACAUCUUCGAUAUGCUCCACCUUCAUUGGUUCUUUUGCAUUGUUCUGCUUAGCACGUUAGCCCCCACAUGUAUUAUCGUCUUUGUUGCAUUAUGACGGAGUGUUCCAUGAUGAUGUGGACAGAGAGAAUCCAAAUUGGUUAAAGAUAGCAUAAUUGCGCCCCCACCAUGUUCAAAUUUAAUCCAUCGACACGUCUGAUUGCGUUACCAAUACCAGAAAACAGAGAUCAAAAGGUCAUGCAAGUCUUCGUCGCAUGUCGUAUGUGGAAAAAAAGACACCCUAUGAGUAAUGUACCUUAAAUCUAUUUCACUCACAAUCACACCCCCUUUGGACCCCACCCUCAAAAAAUCAAUCUAUAUCUUCUC